CAGAAGAUAGUUUAGUGAGAACAUCAGCUUUGGGAGCUGGAGGUGGAGGUUUAAGUCCUCUUUUUCUGA
RNAcentral lists this transfer RNA (69 nucleotides) under Nothocercus nigrocapillus. RNAcentral's name for it is "tRNA-Pro". It matches the Rfam family "tRNA". Rfam says of the family: Transfer RNA (tRNA) molecules are approximately 80 nucleotides in length. Their secondary structure includes four short double-helical elements and three loops (D, anti-codon, and T loops). Lineage: Eukaryota; Metazoa; Chordata; Aves; Tinamiformes; Tinamidae. The record is from RNAcentral.